Molecule: ribosomal RNA, 280 nt
Filed under: Cryptosporidium andersoni
Lineage: Eukaryota; Apicomplexa; Conoidasida; Eucoccidiorida; Cryptosporidiidae
Description: partial small subunit ribosomal RNA
Rfam family: Eukaryotic small subunit ribosomal RNA
Source: RNAcentral
AAUAACAAUACAGGGCCUAACGGUUUUGUAAUUGGAAUGAGUGAAGUAUAAACCCCUUUACGAGUAUCAAUUGGAGGGCAAGUCUGGUGCCAGCAGCCGCGGUAAUUCCAGCUCCAAUAGCGUAUAUUAAAGUUGUUGCAGUUAAAAAGCUUGUAGUUGGAUUUCUGUUGUAUAAUUUUAUAAUAUUACCAAGGUAAUUAUUAUAUUAUCAACAUCCUUCCUAUUAUAUUCUAAAUAUAUAGGAAAUUUUACUUUGAGAAAAUUAGAGUGCUUAAAGCAG